Molecule: ribosomal RNA, 328 nt
Filed under: uncultured eukaryote
Lineage: Eukaryota
Description: partial 18S ribosomal RNA
Rfam family: Eukaryotic small subunit ribosomal RNA
Source: RNAcentral
CCCUUAGAUGUCCUGGGCCGCACGCGGGCUACACUGAUGCAUGCAACGAGUUUAUAACCUUGGCCUGAAAGGUCUGGGUAAUCUUUUGAACGUGCAUCGUGAUAGGGAUAGAUUAUUGCAAUUGUUAAUCUUGAACGAGGAAUUCCUAGUAAACGCGAGUCAUCAGCUCGCAUUGAUUACGUCCCUGCCCUUUGUACACACCGCCCGUCGCACCUACCGAUUGAAUGGUUCGGUGAAGAUCUCGGACUUCGAUAUUUAUUCUUUAUUGAGUUUAUAUUGUGGGAAGUUAUCUAAACCUCAUCAUUUAGAGGAAGGUGAAGUCGUAACA